RNAcentral lists this ribosomal RNA (406 nucleotides) under uncultured bacterium. RNAcentral describes it as "partial 16S ribosomal RNA". It matches the Rfam family "Bacterial small subunit ribosomal RNA", at positions 29 to 526 of the family's 1533-position model. The record is from RNAcentral.
AUUGAACGCUGGCGGCAGGCCUAACACAUGCAAGUCGAACGAGUGGCGGACGGGUGAGUCAUGUCUGGGAAACUGCCUGAUGGAGGGGGAUAACUACUGGAAACGGUAGAUAAUACCGCAUACCAUCGGAUGUGCCCAGAUGGGGUUAGCUAGUAGGGGGGGUAAAGGCUCACCUAGGCGACGAUCCCUAGCUGGUCUGAGAGGAGGACCAGCCACACUGGGAAUGAGACACGGUGCAGACUCCUACGGGAGGCAGCAGGGGGGAAUAUUGCACAAUGGGCGCAAGCCUGAUGCAGCCAUGCGGCGUGUAUGAAGAAGGCCUUCGGGUUGUAAAGUACUUUCAGCGGGGCGGCGUUACCCGCAGAAGAAGCACCGGCUAACUCCGUGCCAGCAGCCGCGGUAAUAC